GAUGAACGCUGGCGGCGUGCCUAAUACAUGCAAGUCGAGCGAACGGACGAGAAGCUUGCUUCUCUGAUGUUAGCGGCGGACGGGUGAGUAACACGUGGAUAACCUACCUAUAAGACUGGGAUAACUUCGGGAAACCGGAGCUAAUACCGGAUAAUAUUUUGAGCCGCAUGGUUCAAAAGUGAAAGACGGUCUUGCUGUCACUUAUAGAUGGAUCCGCGCUGCAUUAGCUAGUUGGUAAGGUAACGGCUUACCAAGGCAACGAUGCAUAGCCGACCUGAGAGGGUGAUCGGCCACACUGGAACUGAGACACGGUCCAGACUCCUACGGGAGGCAGCAGUAGGGAAUCUUCCGCAAUGGGCGAAAGCCUGACGGAGCAACGCCGCGUGAGUGAUGAAGGUCUUCGGAUCGUAAAACUCUGUUAUUAGGGAAGAACAUAUGUGUAAGUAACUGUGCACAUCUUGACGGUACCUAAUCAGAAAGCCACGGCUAACUACGUGCCAGCAGCCGCGGUAAUACGUAGGUGGCAAGCGUUAUCCGGAAUUAUUGGGCGUAAAGCGCGCGUAGGCGGUUUUUUAAGUCUGAUGUGAAAGCCCACGGCUCAACCGUGGAGGGUCAUUGGAAACUGGAAAACUUGAGUGCAGAAGAGGAAAGUGGAAUUCCAUGUGUAGCGGUGAAAUGCGCAGAGAUAUGGAGGAACACCAGUGGCGAAGGCGACUUUCUGGUCUGUAACUGACGCUGAUGUGCGAAAGCGUGGGGAUCAAACAGGAUUAGAUACCCUGGUAGUCCACGCCGUAAACGAUGAGUGCUAAGUGUUAGGGGGUUUCCGCCCCUUAGUGCUGCAGCUAACGCAUUAAGCACUCCGCCUGGGGAGUACGACCGCAAGGUUGAAACUCAAAGGAAUUGACGGGGACCCGCACAAGCGGUGGAGCAUGUGGUUUAAUUCGAAGCAACGCGAAGAACCUUACCAAAUCUUGACAUCCUUUGACAACUCUAGAGAUAGAGCCUUCCCCUUCGGGGGGGCAAAGUGACAGGUGGUGCAUGGUUGUCGUCAGCUCGUGUCGUGAGAUGUUGGGUUAAGUCCCGCAACGAGCGCAACCCUUAAGCUUAGUUGCCAUCAUUAAGUUGGGCACUCUAAGUUGACUGCCGGUGACAAACCGGAGGAAGGUGGGGAUGACGUCAAAUCAUCAUGCCCCUUAUGAUUUGGGCUACACACGUGCUACAAUGGACAAUACAAAGGGCAGCGAAACCGCGAGGUCGAGCAAAUCCCAUAAAGUUGUUCUCAGUUCGGAUUGUAGUCUGCAACUCGACUACAUGAAGCUGGAAUCGCUAGUAAUCGUAGAUCAGCAUGCUACGGUGAAUACGUUCCCGGGUCU
RNAcentral lists this ribosomal RNA (1373 nucleotides) under uncultured bacterium. Its description in RNAcentral is "bacterial SSU rRNA". It matches the Rfam family "Bacterial small subunit ribosomal RNA", at positions 28 to 1381 of the family's 1533-position model. The record is from RNAcentral.